RNAcentral lists this ribosomal RNA (461 nucleotides) under uncultured bacterium. Its description in RNAcentral is "partial 16S ribosomal RNA". It matches the Rfam family "Bacterial small subunit ribosomal RNA", at positions 28 to 507 of the family's 1533-position model. The record is from RNAcentral.
GAUGAACGCUGACAGAAUGCUUAACACAUGCAAGUCUUUGGCGAAGCUGUGCUUGCACAGCCUAGCCAAGGCGGACGGGUGAGUAACGCGUAAGGAACUUGCCCUGCAGUCAGGGAUAACAGACGGAAACGACUGAUAAGACCUGGUAAAGUCAGGCGGACUCAUGUCCAGCCUGAUGAAAAGAGAUGCUGCAGGAGAGCCUUGCGUCCUAUUAGCUUGUUGGUGGGGUAACGGCCCACCAAGGCGAUGAUAGGUAGCCGGCCUGAGAGGGUGGACGGCCACAAGGGGACUGAGAUACGGCCCUUACUCCUACGGGAGGCAGCAGUGGGAAUAUUGGACAAUGGGGGCAACCCUGAUCCAGCAAUUCUGUGUGCACGAUGAAGGUUUUCGGAUUGUAAAGUGCUUUCAGCAGGGAAGAAAAAAUGACGGUACCUGCAGAAGAAGCGACGGCUAAAUACGUG